AAAAACGAUUCAUACGCGGCCUGACUCGCCCGUCGUUGACAUCGCAGCCCGCACGAGAACACGAGGGUUCCGCCGCCGCCGCACCCACAUCCAUCCUCUCCGCGAUGCCCGUCCUCGCUCCGCCGUCGUCGAAUCCGGUCGAGCUCGUCAGGAUUCGCCGCAUCUCGCGCGACGCCCAUCCCGUGCACCCAGCCCCCGCUAACGACGGGCGCCCAGCACCAUCGACGGCGCGCGCCUCCAGCAUCCACCUCCCUAGGAGAGCUCCUCCUGCCUCCGGCGGAGGCGCAUGAGCCGAGCCCGGCCAUAACACGCCCGUGGCCGUGGCCAACAACAACCUCCAGGCUGCAUCAGCGUUCGGUGGCCAACUCUUGAUGGAUUUCCAAUGUGCCUCCGGCCUCCCAUUUUUUUUUUCAGAAUCUACUCCAAUGAGUGAAUCAUAGCCACCAAUAAACAGGCACCCAGUGAAGAUGUCACACUUUGAUGUGAAGUGCCUGAGAUCACAUUCAUCACCAGGAAGGUUCAAGAUGUUCCGCAUCAAAGGCGUCGGCAGUGCUACAAGAGUUGAAGAAAGACGAGGUUUUGGUGUUGUUACUACUAUCUGUGAAGUGUCAAACCUGCCGAAGAAGGCAUGCCUAUUUUUCUCGUUGUGUUCUGAUGCCGAUAAAUAAACCCAAGUGUGAGAAAAAUGUUGGCGAACAGAUAACAAAAGCUAUCCGGACUGAUGUCAGAAAAUUAUUAUGGUAACAAUAAACUAUACUAUGUUUUAGGGAACUAUAAAACAAAGUCGUUUACUGUGGUAGAAAAAAGUAGUACAGUCAAUCAUGUACCUUUACAACAGAGAAACAGGGGAUAUGCUGUGGAAAAAACGGCAUAUGAUAAAAGCACAGACUUAAAAUGAAUGCUCAUGUUUUCUUCCUAUAAAAGAGAACUCUUAUCAUAUUAUGAUUGAUUACAAGGACUACACUUAAUUGAUUUGUUUUCUGUUAGGAAGAAAAUAUGUUGUUGACGGGGAUUUUAAAAAGCUUGAGGUGGUACCGAACGGGAAACAGUUCAUGGAGUUAUUUGAGGUAUCAUCCUUUUGAUAUAGAGGUGGCAUUCCCAUUGUGUAUUACAAACUUGAACUGGUAAUGGAUGUAUGGCUUCAUGUAUCUUCAUCUCUAUUUGGAUGAUUUGGUGCGAGUUUCUCCGGUGUCUAUUCUGAUUCCAGUGGCUUGUUCUUUCUAGCAAGACAGUGCUUGUGUUAAUGCCUAUGGUACCUUCCGAACUGAACUUGAACACUUUCAUGCUUCUGAACUAAAUUUUGAAGACAUGCAGGCAACUUCAUUUCAAGCAUCGGGUUGACUUGAGGCCUGACACCGGUGAGGCCAGAGACGACAGUUCAUCGCGGUGGCCGUUGACAACGGCCAGGAAGCUAGAAAAAACUAGCACGUCUCUCUCCCUCGCGUGAGUGUUGAAUCAGUCCUGUGAAAUUUCUAUGCCCAAUAUGUGCCCGGGCGUCGCCGCCACUCCGUGCCUGCCACAACGUCAGCCCUCCCGUUUCUGCACUGUCGCCACCACCGGCCGGUAGCCCGUGCAGCCACCUCAAGCAUCCUCCACCGCCCAUGCCAUGUCCCCGAUGUAACGUGGGAUCUGCCUCAUGGGCGAGGAAACCAGAACCUUGGCCGCCAUCUCACAUGCGACGGCGUGCACCUCAGUGUGCGGUGAGAAUGAUGCAUUUUCCCAAUGGGAGAUCUUUCUUCAGCUAACUUAAUGUUCUUACAAGGAUAGUUUACAAGAUCGUGGUAUUAUUGUAACAGCAGUAGCCAUGGAGACAUCAGGUGAUCCUUAUGAGCAGAACUAUCAUGAGUCAAUAGAAUUCAUAAACUUGCAGUUUA
Non-coding RNA from Triticum urartu, 1874 nucleotides. The record is from RefSeq and is a predicted model, not a curated record. Lineage: Eukaryota; Viridiplantae; Streptophyta; Magnoliopsida; Poales; Poaceae.